CCCCCCAACCGCCAAAACACCACAAAACAUCCGCCACAACCCGGAAGACAACGAAGACGACGAGAGAACACACAGCCGUGACCUCAUUCUUCUCUACACAACCACGAAGUCAAAGGUCAACAGCAACUACAGCGAAAUUUUCCAGCUCCAAACCUCACCAAGAUCUUAUUACAUCGCUCAGGACCUCACCCCGGUCCGUGUUGCCGAUGACGUCACAGGACAAACAGACAUACCUGGACAGGACCAGGAAAGACACCAGUGCCGCGGGCACUCCUCACACGUGCACAUUUGACAGCGGCUACUGUGACUGGACACAGACUGAUCGGGACUCUGGUAGAAACAUGCAGUGGACCAGGGGUCAAGGAAUGACCGCGACCAGAAAGCUUGGGAGCUUAGAGACUGGCCCGAGAAAUGA
This is an RNA transcript of Aplysia californica (California sea hare), 415 nucleotides long. RefSeq lists it as uncharacterized. The transcript has 3 exons. NCBI's taxonomy places the organism in Eukaryota, Metazoa, Mollusca, Gastropoda, Aplysiida, Aplysiidae. The record is from RefSeq and is a predicted model, not a curated record.